Molecule: transfer RNA, 75 nt
Filed under: Rhodocyclaceae bacterium
Lineage: Bacteria; Pseudomonadati; Pseudomonadota; Betaproteobacteria; Rhodocyclales; Rhodocyclaceae
Also listed under: 2 other names
Description: tRNA-Arg
Rfam family: tRNA
About the family: Transfer RNA (tRNA) molecules are approximately 80 nucleotides in length.
Source: RNAcentral
GCGGCAGUAGCUCAGUCGGAUAGAGCACCGGCCUUCUAAGCCGGGGGUCGGUGGGUUCGAGUCCUCCCUGCCGCG